CGGCGGACGGGUGAGUAACGCGUGGGUAACCUACCCUGUACACACGGAUAACAUACCGAAAGGUAUGCUAAUACGGGAUAAUAUAUUUGAGAGGGCAUCUCUUGAAUAUCAAAGGUGAGCCAGUACAGGAUGGACCCGCGUCUGAUUAGCUAGUUGGUAAGGUAACGGCUUACCAAGGCGACGAUCAGUAGCCGACCUGAGAGGGUGAUCGGCCACAUUGGAACUGAGACACGGUCCAA
RNAcentral lists this ribosomal RNA (239 nucleotides) under uncultured bacterium. RNAcentral's name for it is "partial 16S ribosomal RNA". It matches the Rfam family "Bacterial small subunit ribosomal RNA", at positions 96 to 334 of the family's 1533-position model. The record is from RNAcentral.